Molecule: ribosomal RNA, 490 nt
Filed under: uncultured bacterium
Lineage: Bacteria
Description: partial 16S ribosomal RNA
Rfam family: Bacterial small subunit ribosomal RNA
Source: RNAcentral
AUUGAACGCUGGCGGCAGGCCUAACACAUGCAAGUCGAAUGGUAACAGGAAACAGCUUGCUGUUUCGCUGACGAGUGGCGGACGGGUGAGUAAUGUCUGGGAAACUGCCUGAUGGAGGGGGAUAACUACUGGAAACGGUAGCUAAUACCGCAUAACGUCGCAAGACCAAAGAGGGGGACCUUCGGGCCUCUUGCCAUCAGAUGUGCCCAGAUGGGAUUAGCUAGUAGGUGGGGUAACGGCUCACCUAGGCGACGAUCCCUAGCUGGUCUGAGAGGAUGACCAGCCACACUGGAACUGAGACACGGUCCAGACUCCUACGGGAGGCAGCAGUGGGGUAUAUUGCACAAUGGGCGCAAGCCUGAUGCAGCCAUGCCGCGUGUAUGAAGAAGGCCUUCGGGUUGUAAAGUACUUUCAGCGGGGAGGAAGGGAGUAAAGUUAAUACCUUUGCUCAUUGACGUUACCCUCAGAAGAAGCACCGGCUAACUCCGUG